Molecule: ribosomal RNA, 316 nt
Filed under: uncultured bacterium
Lineage: Bacteria
Description: bacterial SSU rRNA
Rfam family: Bacterial small subunit ribosomal RNA
Source: RNAcentral
AACGAACGCUGGCGGCAGGUCUAACACAUGCAAGUCGAGCGAACCCUUCGGGGUUAGCGGCGGACGGGUUAGUAACGCGUGGGAAUAUACCCUUUGGUACGGAAUAGCCUCGGGAAACUGAGAGUAAUACCGUAUGUGCCCUUCGGGGGAAAGAUUUAUCGCCAAAGGAUUAGCCCGCGUUGGAUUAGAUAGUUGGUGGGGUAAUGGCCUACCAAGUCUACGAUCCAUAGCUGGUUUGAGAGGAUGAUCAGCAACACUGGGACUGAGACACGGCCCAGACUCCUACGGGAGGCAGCAGUGGGGAAUCUUAGACAAU